GGGCCAGACUCCUACGGGAGGCAGCAGUGGGGAAUAUUGCACAAUGGGGGAAACCCUGAUGCAGCGACGCCGCGUGAGCGAUGAAGUCUUUCGGUGUGUAAAGCUCUAUCAGCAGGGAAGAAGAUGACGGUACCUGACUAAGAAGCCCCGACUAACUACGUGCCAGCAGCCGCGGUAAUACGUAGGGGGCAAGCGUUAUCCGGAUUUACUGGGUGUAAAGGGAGCGUAGACGGUUAUGUAAGUCUGGAGUGAAAGCCCGGGGCCCAACCCCGGGACUGCUUUGGAAACUGUGUAACUGGAGUACAGGAGGGGCAGGCGGAAUUCCUGGUGUAGCGGUGAAAUGCGUAGAUAUCAGGAGGAACACCGGCGGCGAAGGCGGCCUGCUGGACUGAAACUGACGUUGAGGCUCGAAAGCGUGGGGAGCAAACAGGAUUAGAUACCCCUGUA
RNAcentral lists this ribosomal RNA (447 nucleotides) under uncultured bacterium. RNAcentral describes it as "bacterial SSU rRNA". It matches the Rfam family "Bacterial small subunit ribosomal RNA", at positions 328 to 792 of the family's 1533-position model. The record is from RNAcentral.